Molecule: ribosomal RNA, 409 nt
Filed under: Actinomycetes bacterium
Lineage: Bacteria; Bacillati; Actinomycetota; Actinomycetes
Description: Actinobacteria bacterium partial 16S ribosomal RNA
Rfam family: Bacterial small subunit ribosomal RNA
Source: RNAcentral
UGGGGAAUAUUGCACAAUGGGCGGAAGCCUGAUGCAGCGACGCCGCGUGGGGGAUGAGGGCCUUCGGGUUGUAAACUCCUUUCGACAGGGACGAAGCUUUUGUGACGGUACCUGUAUAAGAAGCACCGGCUAACUACGUGCCAGCAGCCGCGGUAAUACGUAGGGUGCGAGCGAUGUCCGGAAUUACUGGGCGUAAAGAGCUCGUAGGUGGUUUGUCGCGUCGUCUGUGAAAUUCCGGGGCUUAACUCCGGGCGUGCAGGCGAUACGGGCUGACUUGAGUGCUGUAGGGGAGACUGGAAUUCCUGGUGUAGCGGUGAAAUGCGCAGAUAUCAGGAGGAACACCGAUGGCGAAGGCAGGUCUCUGGGCAGUAACUGACGCUGAGGAGCGAAAGCAUGGGUAGCGAACAGG